CAUACCUAUUCGAAGGGAUAGGGUCGGUUUGGCCGGAUUUCACACAGGUGUCGCAUGGCUGUCGUCAGCUCGUGUCGUGAGAUGUUGGGUUAAGUCCCGCAACGAGCGCAACCCUCAUCCUUAGUUACCAUCAGGUUAUGCUGGGGACUUUAAGGAAACUGCCAGUGAUAAACUGGAGGAAGGUGGGGAUGAUGUCAAGUCAUCAUGGCCCUUAUGGAGUGGGCUACACACGUGCUACAAUGGUGAUUACAAUGGGCUGCAAGGUCGCAAGGCUGAGCUAAUCCUAAAAAAUCAUCUCAGUUCGGAUUGUUCUCUGCGACUCGAGAGCAUGAAGUUGGAAUCGCUAGUAGUCGUGGAUCAGCAUGCCACGGUGAAUACGUUCUCGGGUCUUGUACACACUGCCCGUCACGCCAUGGGAAUUGGUUUCACUCGAAGCU
This 437-nucleotide ribosomal RNA is filed under the name Wolbachia endosymbiont of Aphis cytisorum. Its description in RNAcentral is "bacterial SSU rRNA". It matches the Rfam family "Bacterial small subunit ribosomal RNA", at positions 992 to 1428 of the family's 1533-position model. The record is from RNAcentral. Lineage: Bacteria; Pseudomonadati; Pseudomonadota; Alphaproteobacteria; Rickettsiales; Anaplasmataceae.